This 512-nucleotide ribosomal RNA is filed under the name uncultured bacterium. Its description in RNAcentral is "partial 16S ribosomal RNA". It matches the Rfam family "Bacterial small subunit ribosomal RNA", at positions 28 to 507 of the family's 1533-position model. The record is from RNAcentral.
GAUGAACGCUGGCGGCGUGCCUAAUACAUGCAAGUCGAACGAAACUUCUUUAUCACCGAGUGCUUGCACUCACCGAUAAAGAGUUGAGUGGCGAACGGGUGAGUAACACGUGGGCAACCUGCCCAAAAGAGGGGGAUAACACUUGGAAACAGGUGCUAAUACCGCAUAACCAUAGUUACCGCAUGGUAACUAUGUAAAAGGUGGCUAUACUACCGCUUUUGGAUGGGCCCGCGGCGCAUUAGCUAGUUGGUAGGGUAAAGGCUUACCAAGGCAAUGAUGCGUAGCCGAAUUGAGAGGUUGAUCGGCCACAUUGGGACUGAGACACGGCCCAAACUCCUACGGGAGGCAGCAGUAGGGAAUCUUCCACAAUGGGCGAAAGCCUGAUGGAGCAACGCCGCGUGGGUGAAGAAGGUCUUCGGAUCGUAAAACCCCGUUGUUAGAGAAGAAAGUGCGUGAGAGUAACUGUUCACGUUUCGACGGUAUCUAACCAGAAAGCCACGGCUAACUACGUG